UGUGUGGGACAAAGACAAAGCAGAGAGAAAAAAGAAAGCUGAACUGUGCUGGAAAAAGACCAUGGCUCAAACAUUAGAGAGCCAGAGUCAUUUUAUCAAUAAGUACAUAGAUCUGCUCACGCAGGAUUCAGAGGAUCUGGACGCCUCAGCCUCUACAUCAGCAGAGCAUAGAUACCUAAGCAUGCUCGUAGUGACGCAGUGUUCUUAAUAAGCCAACUUGUAUUGUAUUCUCGAUAUCCAGUCAGUACAUUUAUGUCAGUAAAUGCAUGCAUCAACACUUCCUUGACUUUGCUGAGCAGUUGUCUGUUCUUUGUCCUAAAAGUUCUUGCAUAUAAUGGUGGUCUUCACAUAACAUAAGUAAAUUCCCAUCCUUAAACUCUUUAUCUUGCAUAUUCAUUUAGAGCAUUUUCUGUUGGGGUAAAUGAGUAGAGAGGAUCCUAGGCCAUUUUUAGCAAUUUCCUGGUGAUUAAAAAAAGAUGAACCCAUUUAUUCAACAUUGAUUAUUUUAACAAAUUCAGAGGUACCUUAACAUAAAAUUAAGGUUAUAGUGAACUUGUAACCAUCCGUCUCUGCUUGGUACAGCCCCAGUUCAUGUGACGGUGCUCUGGUGUGUGUGGGACCUCGUCGUUGGCGUGCCAGAGGAGGAAAGAGGAGGCAGAUGGAGAUGUGUAUCCUGUGUCACGAAGCGCAGGAGAUCCUACCUGAUGGCACCGCCAUGGUGCUCGCUGCCUUUGUCCAACGCUCUACGGUCAUGUCCAAGAUCCGCAAAAGACCCCCUCACAAUCCAGGUAAGGUUAUGGUUUACAGUGUGCAAGUCAAGUAAUUGGAUAGGUUUGAGUAGCCAGUGUGCUUAUUUCUGGAGGAUACAUGUGUGUUACAGAGAGCUAUGAUCCCCUCUUCAUGCACCCUGACCUGUCCUUUGGUACCCAUACCAGCAACUGGGGCCACAUCAUGCACUCUCUCUGCUGGCAGAGAUACUUUGAGACACUCCAGAGUCAGGAUGCGCAGUGGCUGCAUGAGCAAACCAGUUGCGAUGUAGUGAAUGGGGAGUACUUGUGUCCACUCUGUAAGUGUCGCAGUAACACUCAUUCCUCUCCUGCCCCUCACUGAGACCACCUGCAGUUACAGCAAUAGUGAGCAGCCAGGUCUGGCUCAUUGGCUGAAUGCAACGUAUAUAAGCAGAUCAGAGCCUUGCACUCUGCUCAUAAGAGAGCCAAGCCAACAAAUGCUGGUGAGACUGAGACUGUGGAGGACUCUCCUCCUCCUGAGAGUUUCAGGCUGGACCACACACCAGUCAACCCUUAUUCAAGCUCCAUAAGGGAGAUGCUGAUGACAUUUGGGACCGCAACUUAUAAAGUUGGCCUUAAGGUGCACCCUAAUGAGCAGGACCCCCGUGUGCCUAUCAUGUGCUGGGGCAGCUGUUCUUGCACCAUCCAGUCUAUAGAGAGAUUAUUGGUAGAUGAGGAGAAGCCUUGUUUGGAAGUUUACCCUGUAGACAGGUAUGACAACCCAACUUAUUGUCAUAUCUCAGCCCAGCCAGGACUCGGUUUCCCAAGAAGCAACACCCACUUCUAACAUGGCCGCUGAGGACUACACUUCCCACACACGCAUGCGCUCACCUCCCCGGAGUUCUGAUCUCACACACCUGCAGCCAAUCACCUUGUCCACUCACCACGGCUUAUUAAGAGACUUUGGUUCAGAGACACUUUGUGAAGUAAAUGUUCAGCAGACUAGUUUCUCUGUCGUUCUCCAAGCGUUACCUACCGUGUUUAUUCGAUAAGUGACUUUGGCCUCUGUCUUGCCCCGUUUGUUUUGUUUGCAUGAUCGCCUGACCCUCGCUUGCUUCUUGACUACGGACUGUGUUCACCCCUCUGGAUUAUUCUGCCUGAACCUGCCGCCCGCUUCUGCUUCUGUAUUCCCCACGGAGACUAUUUGAGUUCCCUGGCUCAGUUUGGCUCUGCAUGCUGGACUGUCUCCUCUCACUCCUCUGUGCAAAAUCACUUCAUGUGACUGUUGGCAGCACUUGUUCUUGAUCCCCAGGUGGAAAGUUCCCCUGCAUUCUGGAUGUGGACAUGUUCCACUUAGUGGUGAGCUGACAAGCUUGUUAAAUGAUACUUUAGGCACUAUUAAAUGUAUAUUAGCAUCAGAUUAAAGUAUCAUUGUUGUCCAGAAUCUAAACCUGUCUAUCUAACAGGUCAGUGUCUGUGGUUUCUUUGGCUGUAGUCUCUGAGUCAUGUGUUGUGUUUGUAUGUCGGGGGAGUCUGGUGCUGUCCUAUUCAGCAUUGCACUGCUUAGACUCCUCAGGGCUCCUCUGCAUCUCUUCCACUUGGUCAUUGUUGCUCACCUGGUCCAGAUCCUCCUCACCUCUGUGCCAGAGGAGCUGACCAUGGAGCAGGAGCGUGAAGGAGUGGAGCAGGAGCAGGAAGAGAGUGUCUGUCUUCAGUAACACAUUAAGGACUCAUGUAGGCUGCCUGCGUGAGACUAGCUCGGGUUGGCAUCUCUGGCGUUGCGUAAAGGCAGGCAUCCUGCCCUUCCUCAGAGGAGCCGCACUGUUCUUCCACCAUCUCAAUGGAGUUCCCACUUUGCCUGAGCUUGACGCUGUAGGUGCUGGGGAAUUGGGAAGUGCUGUGUGCAUAUGUCUGCCUCCUAACCUGCUCCAGCUCUAUUAUAAUCACCAGGAGCUUCUGGAUCCCCUGCUUCAGGGAUGAGAAACUUCAUAACUGAGCUGAGAAAUGACAGGUGGUGCUCACAUCCAGGCAUGCAACAAUGUCUCCAGUCACCUGAAACCCUUAAGGUGAUCAUUCUUUGUUCUUAUCUAUAGCCUUCUGAAUUUUGCGACUUUUCACCAAAGAACUGCUGCAUCUCAUCCUUCUGCUACUAAAAGAAAGCAGUUUUUAGUGUGAAAUAUGAGCUCAUUAGGUUUAAAACUAUCCUGAUGACAAAAACAUCUCAGAAUGAGAAUCACACUCAAUGACAAGCCAGCGGAAAGCAUCGAGUGAUCAACUUUACACCAAACAUAAUGGGGAGUUUCAUAUUUUUAAUAUUAAACAUUUAAAUAUUUGGAUAUUUUAACAUUUUGAAUGGUUGUAUUUUGUCUCUUCAUUAUUAAACAUACAUUGU
This is a long non-coding RNA of Ictalurus punctatus (channel catfish), 3120 nucleotides long. RefSeq lists it as uncharacterized. The record is from RefSeq and is a predicted model, not a curated record. Lineage: Eukaryota; Metazoa; Chordata; Actinopteri; Siluriformes; Ictaluridae. The transcript is spliced from 12 exons.